CCUACGGGAGGCAGCAGUGAGGAAUAUUGGUCAAUGGACGAGAGUCUGAACCAGCCAAGUAGCGUGAAGGAUGACUGCCCUAUGGGUUGUAAACUUCUUUUAUAUGGGAAUAACAUGUUCCACGUGUGGGAUUUUGUAUGUACCAUAUGAAUAAUGAUCGGCUAACUCCGUGCCAGCAGCCGCGGUAAUACGGAGGAUCCGAGCGUUAUCCGGAUUUAUUGGGUUUAAAGGGAGCGUCGGUGGAUUGUUAAGUCAGUUGUGAAAGUUUGGGGCUCAACCGUAAAAUUGCAGUUGAAACUGGCAGUCUUGAGUACAGUAGAGGUGGGCGGAAUUCGUGGUGUAGCGGUGAAAUGCUUAGAUAUCACGAAGAACUCCGAUUGCGAAGGCAGUUCACUGGACUGCAACUGACACUGAGGCUCGAAAGUGUGGGUAUCAAACAGGAUUAGAUACCCCAGUAGUC
Molecule: ribosomal RNA, 460 nt
Filed under: uncultured bacterium
Lineage: Bacteria
Description: partial 16S ribosomal RNA
Rfam family: Bacterial small subunit ribosomal RNA
Source: RNAcentral